RNAcentral lists this long non-coding RNA (763 nucleotides) under Heterocephalus glaber (naked mole-rat). RNAcentral's name for it is "lncRNA (ENSHGLG00100048782.1)". The record is from RNAcentral. Lineage: Eukaryota; Metazoa; Chordata; Mammalia; Rodentia; Bathyergidae.
CCUGGCCGUUUCUGGAGCACUGGGAGAGACCUUCGCACAGUUUCUGCUUGGAGUCCACCGCUCUUCAUCUCAGGUGGAGCUCCAGGAAAUUGAGAAGCAUGUUAUUAGUUUUAGCAAACAAUUUAAACAAAACUAAGACCAGAUCUCCCAGCAAUGGUGAAGGAUCUCAAGGGAGACCUUGGUCACAGUGGGCCUGGCUUCCCUACAGGCACUGCCUGCCAUAGAGGACAAGCCAUCGAAAAGUGAGGGUUUGAAGCACAGUAGGUCUCUGCAAAUAUUUAUUAAAUGAAUGCACAUGUAUUCAAACCCAGGAGAUGGAGGAGAAAGAUCAGAGGGAGGAUUUGAUAAACAGAAGGCUUCUAAGAAACAGCUUCCAACUCAAAUCAGUCCUUAAAAAUUUUUUAUUUUAUUGUACUAAGAACACUUAACAUGAGAUCUACCCUCUUAACAAAUUUUAAAGUGAAUUUCAAAUUAUUAAAUCGAAAGAUGAUUAAAAAAACAGUUGAAAAGGCACUCAAUAUUCACUCGCUACCUUGGAAACGUGUUAAUUAUCAUUAUCAUAUCAUGUGACUGCUUCGGAUUAAGCGUCUGAGCUGGGCUAAGCACGGAGCUGAGAGCUUUGCACCUAUUCGCUUGUCUGGGCCUCCCGGGAGCCUGGCGUGCAGGUUCUGCCCCCUCCCUCGUCAGAGUGGAGACAAUGGAGGCUGCAGAAGCCUUUCUCCCACUACCACCCUGCCAGGUGCUGCCUCGGCUGAGCAAUGGG